Molecule: small nuclear RNA, 105 nt
Organism: Schistocerca piceifrons (Central American locust)
Lineage: Eukaryota; Metazoa; Arthropoda; Insecta; Orthoptera; Acrididae
Source: RefSeq, a predicted model, not a curated record
AUUCGCUUCGGUGGUACAUACAUUAAAAUUGGAACGAUACAGGAAAGAUUAGCAUGGCCGCAUGACAAGUAUGACACGCAAAAUCGGGAAGCGUUCCGCAUCUUG